UAGGGAAUCUUCCGCAAUGGGCGAAAGCUUGACGGAGCAACGCCGCGUGAGUGAUGAAGGUCUUCGGAUCGUAAAACUCUGUUAUUAGGGAAGAACAAAUGUGUAAGUAACUAUGCACGUCUUGACGGUACCUAAUCAGAAAGCCACGGCUAACUACGUGCCAGCAGCCGCGGUAAUACGUAGGUGGCAAGCGUUAUCCGGAAUUAUUGGGCGUAAAGCGCGCGUAGGCGGUUUUUUAAGUCUGAUGUGAAAGCCCACGGCUCAACCGUGGAGGGUCAUUGGAAACUGGAAAACUUGAGUGCAGAAGAGGAAGUGGAAUUCCAUGUGUAGCGGUGAAAUGCGCAGAGAUAUGGAGGAACACCAGUGGCGAAGGCGACUUUCUGGUCUGUAACUGACGCUGAUGUGCGAAAGCGUGGGGAUCAAACAGG
Molecule: ribosomal RNA, 428 nt
Filed under: Actinomycetes bacterium
Lineage: Bacteria; Bacillati; Actinomycetota; Actinomycetes
Description: Actinobacteria bacterium partial 16S ribosomal RNA
Rfam family: Bacterial small subunit ribosomal RNA
Source: RNAcentral